AAGUCGUAACAAGGUUUCCGUAGGUGAACCUGCGGAAGGAUCAUUAACGAAAAGCAUGUUUGUCUAUGAACGGGGGGCGCGGUAGCUCCCCGGGAAGAGACAUCCAUCCAACUUCUCACGUGCACGAUCGCGAGGCUUCGCUGGCCUCACCUUAGAGUACAUAUUAGAACGACACUUUCUCGUGUUGAUUUACAUCACACGAAACAAAUACAACUUUCAGCAACGGAUCUCUUGGCUCUC
RNAcentral lists this unclassified non-coding RNA (240 nucleotides) under fungal sp. RNAcentral's name for it is "partial internal transcribed spacer region". The stretch from base 1 to 46 matches the Rfam family "Eukaryotic small subunit ribosomal RNA", at positions 1786 to 1831 of the family's 1831-position model. The record is from RNAcentral. Lineage: Eukaryota; Fungi.